Molecule: ribosomal RNA, 562 nt
Filed under: uncultured bacterium
Lineage: Bacteria
Description: bacterial SSU rRNA
Rfam family: Bacterial small subunit ribosomal RNA
Source: RNAcentral
UACGGGAGGCAGCAGUGGGGAAUAUUGGGCAAUGGGCGCAAGCCUGACCCAGCAACGCCGCGUGAGGGAAGAAGGCUUUCGGGUCGUAAACCUCUGUCCCAUGGGACGAGAAAGAGACGGUACCAUGGGAGGAAGCCCCGGCUAACUACGUGCCAGCAGCCGCGGUAAUACGUAGGGGGCGAGCGUUGUCCGGAAUGACUGGGCGUAAAGGGCGCGUAGGCGGCUUUUUAAGUCCGGAGUGAAAGUCCCGCUUUCAAGGUGGGAAGUGCUUUGGAAACUGAAAGGCUAGAGUGUGGGAGAGGAUAGCGGAAUUCCCGGUGUAGCGGUGAAAUGCGUAGAGAUCGGGAGGAACACCAGUGGCGAAGGCGGCUAUCUGGACCAAGACUGACGCUGAAGCGCGAAAGCGUGGGUAGCAAACAGGAUUAGAUACCCUGGUAGUCCACGCCGUAAACGAUGGAUGCUAGGUGUAGGAGGUAUCGACCCCUUCUGUGCCGCAGUAAACACAAUAAGCAUCCCGCCUGGGGAGUACGGCCGCAAGGUUGAAACUCAAAGGAAUUGACGG